RNAcentral lists this ribosomal RNA (518 nucleotides) under uncultured bacterium. RNAcentral's name for it is "bacterial SSU rRNA". It matches the Rfam family "Bacterial small subunit ribosomal RNA", at positions 1 to 504 of the family's 1533-position model. The record is from RNAcentral.
CCGGACGUUUGAUCCUGGCUCAGGAUGAACGCUGGCGGCGUGCCUAAUACAUGCAAGUCGAGCGCAAAGAUCAGGAGCUUGCUCCUGUGAUUUGAGCGGCGAACGGGUGAGUAACGCGUAGGUAACCUGCCUGGUAGCGGGGGAGUAACUAUUGGAAACGAUAGCUAAUACCGCAUAAGAGUAGAUGUUGCAUGACAUUUGCUUAAAAGGUGCAAUUGCAUCACUACCAGAUGGACCUGCGUUGUAUUAGCUAGUUGGUGGGGUAACGGCUCACCAAGGCGACGAUACAUAGCCGACCUGAGAGGGUGAUCGGCCACACUGGGACUGAGACACGGCCCAGACUCCUACGGGAGGCAGCAGUAGGGAAUCUUCGGCAAUGGACGGAAGUCUGACCGAGCAACGCCGCGUGAGUGAAGAAGGUUUUCGGAUCGUAAAGCUCUGUUGUAAGAGAAGAACGAGUGUGAGAGUGGAAAGUUCACACUGUGACGGUAUCUUACCAGAAAGGGACGGCUAACUAC